GAUGAAGAACGCAGCGAAAUGCGAUAAGUAGUGUGAAUUGCAGAAUUCAGUGAAUCAUCGAAUCUUUGAACGCACAUUGCGCCCUUUGGUAUUCCUUAGGGCAUGCCUGUUCGAGCGUCAUUUAAACCUUCAGGCUAAGCUUGGUGUUGGGUGACUGUCCGCUUCACGGCGGACUCGCCUCAAAAUUAUUGGCGGCCGGUACAUUGGCUUCGAGCGCAGCAGAAACGCGAACUCGGGCCCGUCGUAUUGGCUCCCAGAAGCUAUCUUCACAAUUUUGACCUCGGAUCAGGUAGGGAUACCCGCUGAACUUAAGCAUAUCAAUAAGCGGAGGA
Molecule: unclassified non-coding RNA, 332 nt
Filed under: soil metagenome
Description: partial contains 5.8S ribosomal RNA, internal transcribed spacer 2, and large subunit ribosomal RNA
Rfam family: 5.8S ribosomal RNA (bases 1-120)
Source: RNAcentral